Non-coding RNA from Ictidomys tridecemlineatus (thirteen-lined ground squirrel), 72 nucleotides. The record is from Rfam. NCBI's taxonomy places the organism in Eukaryota, Metazoa, Chordata, Mammalia, Rodentia, Sciuridae.
GGGGUUGUGGCUCAGCGGUAGAGCCCGCACCUAGCGCGUGCGAGGCCCUAGGUUCGAUCCUCAGCAGCACAU